Molecule: ribosomal RNA, 468 nt
Filed under: uncultured bacterium
Lineage: Bacteria
Description: partial 16S ribosomal RNA
Rfam family: Bacterial small subunit ribosomal RNA
Source: RNAcentral
GACGAACGCUGGCGGCGUGCUUAACACAUGCAAGUCGAACGGAAAGGCCCUGCUUUUGUGGGGUGCUCGAGUGGCGAACGGGUGAGUAACACGUGAGUAACCUGCCCUGGACUUUGGGAUGACUUCAGGAAACUGGGGCUAAUACCGGAUAGGAGCUCCUGCUGCAUGGUGGGGGUUGGAAAGUUUCGGCGGUUGGGGAUGGACUCGCGGCUUAUCAGCUUGUUGGUGGGGUAGUGGCUUACCAAGGCUUUGACGGGUAGCCGGCCUGAGAGGGUGACCGGCCACAUUGGGACUGAGAUACGGCCCAGACUCCUACGGGAGGCAGCAGUGGGGAAUAUUGCACAAUGGGCGGAAGCCUGAUGCAGCAACGCCGCGUGCGGGAUGACGGCCUUCGGGUUGUAAACCGCUUUCGCCUGUGACGAAGCGUGAGUGACGGUAAUGGGUAAAGAAGCACCGGCUAACUACGUG